This 432-nucleotide ribosomal RNA is filed under the name uncultured bacterium. RNAcentral's name for it is "bacterial SSU rRNA". It matches the Rfam family "Bacterial small subunit ribosomal RNA", at positions 958 to 1392 of the family's 1533-position model. The record is from RNAcentral.
AACGCGAAGAACCUUACCAGGGCUUAAAUGUGGUUUGACAGCUUUAGAGAUAGAGUUUUCUUCGGACAAAUCACAAGGUGCUGCAUGGUUGUCGUCAGCUCGUGCCGUGAGGUGUCAGGUUAAGUCCUAUAACGAGCGCAACCCCUGUUGUUAGUUGCCAGCAUGUCAAGAUGGGGACUCUAACGGGACUGCCGGUGCAAACCGUGAGGAAGGUGGGGACGACGUCAAAUCAUCACGGCCCUUACGUCCUGGGCUACACACGUGCUACAAUGGCCGGUACAGAGGGAAGCCACCCCGCAAGGGGGCGCGGAUCUACAAAACCGGUCACAGUUCGGAUCGGGGUCUGCAACUCGACCCCGUGAAGCUGGAAUCGCUAGUAAUCGGAUAUCAGCCAUGAUCCGGUGAAUACGUUCCCCGGGUCUGUACACACCG